RNAcentral lists this ribosomal RNA (311 nucleotides) under uncultured bacterium. RNAcentral's name for it is "bacterial SSU rRNA". It matches the Rfam family "Bacterial small subunit ribosomal RNA", at positions 28 to 334 of the family's 1533-position model. The record is from RNAcentral.
GACGAACGCUGGCGGCGCGCCUAACACAUGCAAGUCGAACGAGCGAGAGAGAGCUUGCUUUCUCAAGCGAGUGGCGAACGGGUGAGUAACGCGUGAGGAACCUGCCUCAAAGAGGGGGACAACAGUUGGAAACGACUGCUAAUACCGCAUAAGCCCACGACCCGGCAUCGGGUUGAGGGAAAAGGAGCGAUCCGCUUUGAGAUGGCCUCGCGUCCGAUUAGCUAGUUGGUAAGGUAACGGCUUACCAAGGCAAUGAUGCAUAGCCGAGUUGAGAGACUGAUCGGCCACAUUGGGACUGAGACACGGCCCAA